This 253-nucleotide ribosomal RNA is filed under the name uncultured bacterium. RNAcentral describes it as "partial 16S ribosomal RNA". It matches the Rfam family "Bacterial small subunit ribosomal RNA", at positions 524 to 776 of the family's 1533-position model. The record is from RNAcentral.
UACGUAGGGGGCAAGCGUUGUCCGGAUUUAUUGGGCGUAAAGAGCGUGUAGGCGGUCCGGUAAGUCCGCUGUGAAAGUCGAGGGCUCAACCCUCGAAUGCCGGUGGAUACUGUCGGGCUAGAGUGCGGAAGAGGCGAGUGGAAUUCCUGGUGUAGCGGUGAAAUGCGCAGAUAUCAGGAGGAACACCUAUUGCGAAGGCAGCUCGCUGGGACGUUACUGACGCUGAGACGCGAAAGCGUGGGGAGCAAACAGG